GACGAACGCUGGCGGCGUGCUUAACACAUGCAAGUCGAACGGAAAGGCCCUGCUUUCGUGGGGUGAUCGAGUGGCGAACGGGUGAGUAACACGUGAGUAACCUGCUCUUGACUUUGGGAUAACUUCAGGAAACUGGGGCUAAUAUCGGACAGGAGCUCCUGUUGCAUGGAGGGGGUUGGAAAGUCUCGGCGGUUGGGGAUGGAUUCGCGGCUUAUCAGCUUGUUGGUGGGGUAGUGGCUUACCGAGGCUUUGACGGGUAGCCGGCCUGGGAGGGUGACCGGCCACAAUGGGACUGAGAGACGGCCCAGACUCCUACGGGGGGCAGCGGUGGGGAAUAUUGCACAAUGGUCGGAAGCCUGAGGCAGCAACGCCGCGUGCGGGAUGACGGCCUUCGGGUUAUAAACCGCUUUCGCCUGUGACGAAGCGUGAGUGACGGUAAUGGGUAAAGAAGCACCGGCUAACUACGUG
Molecule: ribosomal RNA, 468 nt
Filed under: uncultured bacterium
Lineage: Bacteria
Description: partial 16S ribosomal RNA
Rfam family: Bacterial small subunit ribosomal RNA
Source: RNAcentral